CAAUAGCGUAUAUUAAAGUUGUUGCAGUUAAAAAGCUCGUAGUUGAAUUUCUGUACAGUCCCAAUUUUGGCUUCGGUCAGGUUGUGGAUUGUGCAUCCGCUUGCAAAUCUAGUUCGGCAUUCACUUGUUGGCUAGGGGAGUAAGCUUUUUACUUUGAAAAAAUUAGAGUGUUUCAAGCAGGCAAUGGCUCGAAUACAUUAGCAUGGAAUAAUGGAAUAGGACUUUUGUCCAUUUGAUUGGUUAUUGGACUUAGGUAAUGAUUAAAAGGGACAGUUGGGGGCAUUAGUAUUUAAUUGUCAGAGGUGAAAUUCUUGGAUUUAUUAAAGACUAACUUAUGCGAAAGCAUUUGCCAAGGAUGUUUNCAUUA
This 367-nucleotide ribosomal RNA is filed under the name uncultured eukaryote. RNAcentral's name for it is "partial 18S ribosomal RNA". It matches the Rfam family "Eukaryotic small subunit ribosomal RNA", at positions 592 to 975 of the family's 1831-position model. The record is from RNAcentral.